This 408-nucleotide ribosomal RNA is filed under the name uncultured bacterium. Its description in RNAcentral is "partial 16S ribosomal RNA". It matches the Rfam family "Bacterial small subunit ribosomal RNA", at positions 28 to 526 of the family's 1533-position model. The record is from RNAcentral.
GACGAACGCUGGCGGCGUGCCUAACACAUGCAAGUCGAAGAUAGUGGCGAACGGGUGAGUAAUACGUGGGUAACCUGCCCUCCUUUUUGGGAUAAGACUUGGAAAGGGGGUCUAAUACCAAAUAAAGGGGGAUGGGCUCGCGGCCUGUCAGCUUGUUGGUGGGGGGAUGAGCUAACAAGGCGGUGACGGGUAGCCGGACUGAGAGGCUACACGGGAACAUAGAGACGGCGAAGAGGCCCAGGGGAGUACGGGGUGGGGAAGUGGGGAAAAUUGCAGAAAGGGUGAGAGAGUGAUGCAGCGAGGGCGAGGAGGGGAUGAGGGCUGUAGGGUUGUAUACCUCUGUCGCAAUCGAACGGGUAGGUGGAGAAGAAGCGCCGGCUAACUACGUGCCAGCAGCCGCGGUAAUUC